GGGCAUGUAGUUCAGUGGUAGAACGCCAUUCUGAUAAAAUGGAGGUCGAAGGUUCGAUUCCUUCCAUGCCCACAA
This 75-nucleotide transfer RNA is filed under the name Candidatus Jorgensenbacteria bacterium CG23_combo_of_CG06-09_8_20_14_all_54_14. RNAcentral's name for it is "tRNA-Ile". It matches the Rfam family "tRNA". From Rfam's summary of the family: Transfer RNA (tRNA) molecules are approximately 80 nucleotides in length. Lineage: Bacteria; Candidatus Joergenseniibacteriota. The record is from RNAcentral.